Molecule: ribosomal RNA, 253 nt
Filed under: uncultured bacterium
Lineage: Bacteria
Description: partial 16S ribosomal RNA
Rfam family: Bacterial small subunit ribosomal RNA
Source: RNAcentral
UACGUAGGGCGCAAGCGUUGUUCGGAUUUACUGGGCGUAAAGGGCGCGUAGGCGGCGUGGUAAGUCACUUGUGAAAUCUCUGAGCUUAACUCAGAACGGCCAAGUGAUACUGCUGUGCUAGAGUGCAGAAGGGGCAAUCGGAAUUCUUGGUGUAGCGGUGAAAUGCGUAGAUAUCAAGAGGAACACCUGAGGUGAAGACGGGUUGCUGGGCUGACACUGACGCUGAGGCGCGAAAGCCAGGGGAGCAAACGGG